RNAcentral lists this ribosomal RNA (469 nucleotides) under uncultured bacterium. RNAcentral describes it as "bacterial SSU rRNA". It matches the Rfam family "Bacterial small subunit ribosomal RNA", at positions 8 to 526 of the family's 1533-position model. The record is from RNAcentral.
AGAGUUCGAUUAUGGCUCAGGAUGAACGCUGGCGGCGUGCUUAACACAUGCAAGUCGAACGAACCUUCGGGUUAGUGGCGGACGGGUGAGUAACGCGUGAGAAUCUGCCCUCAGGAGGGGGAUAACGGUUGGAAACGACCGCUAAUACCCCAUAUGCCUAUUGGUGAAACGAAUUUCGCCUGAGGAUGAGCUCGCGUCUGAUUAGCUAGUUGGUGAGGUAAUGGCUCACCAAGGCUUCGAUCAGUAGCUGGUCUGAGAGGAUGAUCAGCCACACUGGGACUGAGACACGGCCCAGACUCCUACGGGAGGCAGCAGUGGGGAAUAUUGCGCAAUGAGCGAAAGCUUGACGCAGCGACACCGCGUGUGGGAUGACGGAUCUAGGUUUGUAAACCACUUUCAGGAGGGAAGAAAAUGACGGUACCUCCACAAGAAGCCCCGGCCAACUACGUGCCAGCCGCCGCGGUAAUUC